RNAcentral lists this microRNA precursor (250 nucleotides) under Oryza sativa (Asian cultivated rice). RNAcentral describes it as "partial microRNA MIR438k precursor". The stretch from base 29 to 221 matches the Rfam family "MIR812 microRNA precursor family". Lineage: Eukaryota; Viridiplantae; Streptophyta; Magnoliopsida; Poales; Poaceae. The record is from RNAcentral.
AGUAGUACUCCCUCCGUUCCAAAAAAAAAAAAGGACAAACCCUGGGUUUCCGUGUUCAAUUUUGAUUAUCCGUCUUAUAUGAAAUUUUUUAUAAUUCGUAUUUUUAUUGUUGUUAGAUGAUAAAACAUGAUUAAUAUUUUAUGCGUGACUUGUCUUUUUAAUUUUUUUCAUAAUUUUUUCAAAUAAGACGGACGGUCAAAUGUUAUACACGAAAACUAAAGUUUAUAUUUUUUGGACGGAGGGAGCAUGC